AAAGGAGGUGAAUUUAAAUGAAAAAAUAAAUAGAAAAUGUAGAAUAAUAUUUUUUCGUACAAGGAUUUUUGCGGAUAAAUUUAUAAUUUACAAUUCAGUUUUGUCAUAAUAUCGAUAUGGUUACAUACACAGUGGAAGACAAAAGUAUUUACAUAUAGUACAUAAAAUAGAAAUAUGGAAAUAAAAAUUAUUAUAUUUUUUAUACAUUAUUAAUUAUAUUGAUAUAUAUGUGAUUGUAUAUUGUAUUCUAACAUUAGUAAUAACAAGUAUGAAAAAAAACAAAAGUUAACAACGCAAUUGUAAAAAGAAGUCAUUCAACAGUACAAAGUAUAGUGAAGAAAUUUAAUAAAGCAGGAAUAUUGCAAGACAAAAAGAAGUGGUCAACCAAGAAAAUUGUCAUUGAAAGAAAAA
Molecule: long non-coding RNA, 411 nt
Organism: Vespa mandarinia (Asian giant hornet)
Lineage: Eukaryota; Metazoa; Arthropoda; Insecta; Hymenoptera; Vespidae
Source: RefSeq, a predicted model, not a curated record